Non-coding RNA from Acanthosepion pharaonis, 110 nucleotides. Lineage: Eukaryota; Metazoa; Mollusca; Cephalopoda; Sepiida; Sepiidae. The record is from the annotation of a GenBank genome assembly.
GGCCAUAUCAUGUUGAAACUUUGUUUCUCAUAAAAUCACCAAAGUUAAGCAACAUUAGGCCUGAUUAGUACCUAGAUGGGUGACUGCUUGGGAAUAGCAGGUGCUGUAAG